This is a non-coding RNA of Pelobates cultripes (western spadefoot toad), 2310 nucleotides long. Lineage: Eukaryota; Metazoa; Chordata; Amphibia; Anura; Pelobatidae. The record is from the annotation of a GenBank genome assembly.
UUUAUAUUUUUGCUUCCUGUAUCCAAACUUUUAGAGUUCUAAGUAUACAGAGAACAAACCCUAACAGAAAAAAAACAUGAACGCAGAUGUAUUUGCAUUUGUGAUGAUGAAUAUGCUCUCUGCAUUUUCUGGGGAGGUUGGAUUGAGUGAUGAAUCAAAGCUUCUCAUUAUUAAUUUCUAAAGCACACAAAUCAUUAACAUCAGAUGCAACAUAAAUGUUUUCCACAAGCAUCACAUGUACCACCCUAGAAAUAAAGGCAAUUUUAAAUUAAUCUAACCAUUAAAACAAUAUGUGGAUUGACUAUUUUUUCAGUGAGUGCUGAAUAAAGUAUUUUCAUUUGUUUGCAACCUCCUACAGACUUGUAAUUAAACCUUGAAUUGCUUUGCAACCAAAGCUUAGGUCGCACCCUAAAGACAAUAUCUGAGUGAUAAAAUUCUCUACGAGACACUCCUUCACAGUUAUUAUGCCCUUAAUAAUGCAUUUAAUGUUAUUGUUUUUCCAUUUCUCAACAGUUGUUCACACACUUCAAUGGAGACAAAAUGGCUGCAUGAUCUUGCUAAUUAGUGUGUAAAGGAAGUGGAACACACGUCUGCCCAAACUAUGGCUUUAAUACAUGCCAUGUGGCUUUGCCAUCAGUGUGUUUGAUAAAUGUUGUUCAAAGUCCUUUGAACCCAAUAAUGGGUUUAAGAUACCUGCUUAUGUCUGCUAUCUCAUGGUAAAGCAAGGUGAAGAUUAGAUUGUAGAUUGAAGCAUUUGGGAUCAAUUGUGAGAUUGUGUAAGUGAAAGCAGCCCCGAAGAACACUAUUAGUACUGCAAGAGAAUUCUAUAAUUAAUUUCUACAAAACUAUUACUUAUAUGAAGUUCUGUCUGGUUAUCCCUUCUUUUCCAUCCCUUUGUUUUUGCAUAAUUUGAGAUCUGUUAAAAGCUCUGAUUUGAUCAUGGGACAGGUGGUAGUAAUCUGACUUUCAACAUUUUACACUUACAAUAGUAGCGUUCCAAAAUAAAGUUAUAAUCUGUUUUCUUUUUAUCUCCCAAGCCAACAGUACUUUUUACAGCUAGUUAUUUAGUGAAUAUGUCACCUUAUUUUGAGUAUAACAUACACAGAGAUGGAAUAACCAUGCAAUGGUAUCUGCUCUCACAUAUGUGAAAUCCAUAAAUGACAUAAUAACACUAAGUAGUUUUGCCCUUUGCUGAGUUUUAACUUUUCAACUUAAGUACAGUUUUGUUUACGGUUACAGCACAGUGUGUGUAAUUUAAAUAACAUGCACAACACUGUAAGUGGGUUUGAGGUCAAUGUGUACUGUAAACAAACACUUUGUACGUGCCCAAAAAAUCCUGCAUGCAAGGUGAAGGGGAAUGAAAGGAUGGCAAUAGCUGCUGCGUCCAGUUUAUGUGGCUCUGCAGAAGCUGGAAUUGCGUCACUGGACCACACUGCCAGAGCCGCAAAAAGAUUCUAUAAUAUAUUUCUACAAAACUAUUACUUAUUUUGGUUUGGUGAGGGUUGUACUAAAUAUCUAUGAAGUCUCCAGAGAGUCCCGGCAGGGACCCAGGUAAGGGGGCAAUCCGUUACUAAAUGGUUUAUCCUGUUACCAGGGAACUCUCGGCAUCAUAACCAUUACAGCAUAUUGUGGGGGAUAUAAUGAUUGAAUUAAUGCUAUAAAGUAACUAAGUAUGGACUUUGCACAAUAAAAUGUACCAAGUGUUAUGUAGAGAUAAUCAUACUUCCUGUGAUCUAAGGAAAUGUGGAAUUUGUGUAAAUUUAGGCUGAUAUCACUGGUGAUAUCGGUUGCAGGUUAUAUUUAUUUAAGCCAUAUCAGGUAACUUGAAUAAAAUUAAAGAGACAGGACCAACCAGGUAAUCCAAAAUGAUCAAAUCCAUAACCUUUUCAUAUCUAUAAGUGCAGAGGGGUAAAGGCAGGGCUAGUGUGACAAAGCUUUCCACCGCUACGGUCACAGCCAAAAGUCCCCUGGUCACUAAAGGGGAAUCUUCUGGGGGGCAAGCUUGGCACAUGCCAUAUUCUGAAGCAUCUCAAGGAAGAAAGGCUGAACUCACUUGGGGCAUGUUGUAAACCCCCCAAAUACGGCAAAAAUAAAAUGAAACCAUCAUAAAGACUGAAACUCUUUAUAAAGGCUCUAAUAGGAACCAACAUGUUGCUGUUCUUCAUCUAUUAAAUCUGCCUGGAUCUUAAACCUGUGCCCGAGCUAUUUUCUUUGUCUGUAGCUACCAUUAAAAUUUGGUUCCCUCUGAACUGGAGGCUUGGUUACCAUUUUUUUUUUAAAUUCUUUAUUUUUGUUCGUGCAUGAAUUAGG